This 358-nucleotide ribosomal RNA is filed under the name uncultured bacterium. RNAcentral's name for it is "bacterial SSU rRNA". It matches the Rfam family "Bacterial small subunit ribosomal RNA", at positions 29 to 412 of the family's 1533-position model. The record is from RNAcentral.
AGCGAACGCUGGCGGCAGGCUUAACACAUGCAAGUCGAGCGGGCGUAGCAAUACGUCAGCGGCAGACGGGUGAGUAACGCGUGGGAACGUACCUUUUGGUUCGGAACAACACAGGGAAACUUGUGCUAAUACCGGAUAAGCCCUUACGGGGAAAGAUUUAUCGCCAAAAGAUCGGCCCGCGUCUGAUUAGCUAGUUGGUGAGGUAAUGGCUCACCAAGGCGACGAUCAGUAGCUGGUCUGAGAGGAUGAUCAGCCACAUUGGGACUGAGACACGGCCCAAACUCCUACGGGAGGCAGCAGUGGGGAAUAUUGGACAAUGGGCGCAAGCCUGAUCCAGCCAUGCCGCGUGAGUGAUGAA